CCUACGGGAGGCAGCAGUGAGGAAUAUUGGUCAAUGGACGAGAGUCUGAACCAGCCAAGUAGCGUGAAGGAUGACUGCCCUAUGGGUUGUAAACUUCUUUUAUAAAGGAAUAAAACGAGGCACGUGUGCCUUUUUGCAUGUACUUUAUGAAUAAGGAUCGGCUAACUCCGUGCCAGCAGCCGCGGUAAUACGGAGGAUCCGAGCGUUAUCCGGAUUUAUUGGGUUUAAAGGGAGCGUAGAUGGGUUGUUAAGUCAGUUGUGAAAGUUUGGGGCUCAACCGUAAAAUUGCAAUUGAUACUGGGAGUCUUGAGUACAGUUGAGGUAGGCGGAAUUCGUGGUGUAGCGGUGAAAUGCUUAGAUAUCACGAAGAACCCCGAGUGCGAAGGCAGCUUACUAAACUGUGACUGACAUUGAUGCUCGAAAGUGUGGGUAUCAAACAGGAUUAGAUACCCCUGUAGUC
RNAcentral lists this ribosomal RNA (460 nucleotides) under uncultured bacterium. RNAcentral's name for it is "partial 16S ribosomal RNA". It matches the Rfam family "Bacterial small subunit ribosomal RNA", at positions 338 to 795 of the family's 1533-position model. The record is from RNAcentral.